RNAcentral lists this ribosomal RNA (270 nucleotides) under uncultured archaeon. Its description in RNAcentral is "partial 16S ribosomal RNA". It matches the Rfam family "Archaeal small subunit ribosomal RNA", at positions 477 to 747 of the family's 1478-position model. The record is from RNAcentral.
CUGCAGCCCGAGUGGUGAUCGAUUUUAUUGAGCCUAAAGCGUCCGUAGCCGGACUAGUAAACCCUUGGGUAAAUUGGGCAGCUUAACUGUCCAAAUUCCGAGGGGACUGCUAGUCUUGGGACCGGGAGAGGUCAGAGGUACUCAAGGGGUAGGGGCUAAAUCCUGUAAUCCUUUGGGGGCCACCAGUGGCGAAGGCGUCUGACUAGAACGGAUCCGACGGUAAGGGACGAAACCCUGGGGCGCGAACCGGAUUAGAUACCCGAGUAGUCC